RNAcentral lists this long non-coding RNA (375 nucleotides) under Felis catus (domestic cat). RNAcentral describes it as "lncRNA (ENSFCAG00000052961.1)". The record is from RNAcentral. Lineage: Eukaryota; Metazoa; Chordata; Mammalia; Carnivora; Felidae.
UGGGUCACGAGUUAGCUGUCCUGUUUGCAAUGUGGCUGGACGACAUUCUCAUUUUCACUCAUAAGAAUUAUUACUGAUUUAAAAGAAACCAACUCAAAUUCAAUUCUGAAAACCCCUCCCUCCUUCCUCAAAACCACAGUAUGUAUCACUGCUAAAAGCAGAAAAAUGGAAGAGAGAAGGAUACUGACUGUUACACCCAGCAGGCGAUUCUGUUUCCUUUAGAGCAUCGGAGCUAAAGGCGUAAAUUUCACAGAACCAGAGGAACAAUCAGCUUGAAACUUGUUGAAUACAGUGAUGCUAAUUAAAAACUUCUUCUUGAUGGUGUGUUCUCCCCCAGUCCGCAUCCCAUCCACCUCACUACUUAUAUAACCUCCU